Molecule: long non-coding RNA, 1618 nt
Organism: Helianthus annuus (common sunflower)
Lineage: Eukaryota; Viridiplantae; Streptophyta; Magnoliopsida; Asterales; Asteraceae
Exons: 4
Source: RefSeq, a predicted model, not a curated record
UCCUUCCAUUUUGACUUAGAACAUGGCAGGUGGCAGCAUCACUAGAGAUUCCUGCAUCCAAAAUCAAAGACCUAAAAAUCGAUUCAGAACAACCUAUUUUCCGUUUGUCUCUCCCACUUCAUCGUACCUCUUUCUCUCUCUACAUUUUCUCUUUUUACGUCUUUCCUUCCUGUAAUCCGCCCUAACCCUUUACUUUAUUCAGCAAUUAGCUCAUCCCCUUUUCUCAUCUUGCAAUCUAUCACAUGGGUAUUAUUUAUAAAUCAUCAUGAUUUCACUUUCCCCAUUGCCCUCUUUGUAGAUCAGAUGAAUUGUUGAGAUCCUACACGGAUGUGGCGAAUUCGUAACGCAUGUCAGGUCACAGCAUGGGAAGCAAGAUAGAUACCUUGUCUGAUAAAUGGGGAACAUGUGUUUUUACAAUGAUGAAAAAGAGAAUGAAAAACAUAAUAACAAGAGACAACAACAACAACAAGAUAAAGCAGGAGUGGCGGAAAUCGGUACAUUUGGGAACAGAGUCAGCUCUCCUUCCUUGGACAAAAAAAGCACUUGCUUAGGCUUUCAAAUUUGCUACCUCAAUUCAUCAUUUUGCUUAUGAGACACUGUCUUGCCAACUGAGAUCUUCAAAACUCUCAAAUCUGAUUUUAAAUAUAAAAACAUCAAGUUUCCAGGUCUGUUUCUUCUCUAAUUUUUUGGUUGCACAAUAAAAACCAUCCAUCUGAUUAGAUUUACAAAGGUAUAUAAUUUAUGUUCCAACAUAUGUCAGGUGUUCUUGCUAAAGCCUCAAGGUUUUUGUUUAUGCUUUAUCCUUAUAUUGAUCACUAUAUGGAUUUCUGUUAAAUUGGUAUAACUCUCAGUUAAGCUUAAUAUAUUUAAAGUGAUCGUUGUUGAGAAGAUUGAUUUGGUUAUACAUGAUGUAUGUUGAACUUGAUGGUUAAUUCAGUAGAGCUUGAAACUUGAGAUUGGUAUGAUUAUAAGUUAAACUGAUUAGUUAAUUGUAUUUUAUUUGUAGCAUUCUUAUAAAUCCCAUGGCACUUCUCAUUCUCAUUUCCAACUAUAUUUCUUUACUUAUUAAAAAAAUAACUAGCACUGAACUUUUCACAAUUGGCAUUUCAUAUUUUCACAACUUACACGUGUUCCGCCAUGAAUAAGCUUUCAUUUGUUGUUGUUGGUCUAAACUUGGAUAAAAAAGUAGGGUUUAUACCAUGUCCAUUGAUAAUAAAACUAAGUUUUGUUUCCAUGAUUAAUACUAUUUCAUAUCUCUUGAAUUGAUUUCAAUGAUUUUCAGAAAUUAUGGACAAGCUUGUAACCGAAGGCAUAUCUGUUGAAAUGAAAGUUACACCAUCAGGAGGGUGAAGAUUUGAGAGUUUUGAAGAUCUCAGUUGGCAAGACAAUGUCUCAUAAGCAAAAUGAUGAAUUGAAGUAGCAAAUUUGGAAGCCUAAGCUAGUGCUUUUUUAUCCAAGGAAGGAGAGCUGACUCUAUUCCCAAAUGUACCGAUUUCUGCCACUCCUAAAUAGUAAGAUCAUACAACAGAACAAAAACUAAUGUGACACCUGGGUCACUAAGACCAUCAAACAAAUACCAAGCCAAUGAAAUAUUGUAUUUCAAACUUGGGAUCUGUAU